Schizosaccharomyces pombe (fission yeast) is the source of this 2348-nucleotide non-coding RNA. The record is from the annotation of a GenBank genome assembly. Lineage: Eukaryota; Fungi; Ascomycota; Schizosaccharomycetes; Schizosaccharomycetales; Schizosaccharomycetaceae.
UCUCAUUUCUUUUUCCCAUCAUAAUCUUGUUCUUUCGUUCAUCCUAUAUAAAACUAAUCACCAAGGAAUACAUAGCAGUUUCCAUUUUACAGUCAUAAAAAAAAUGAAAAAAAAAAGUGUUUCGUAGAGAGAGUGUGAAAUAAUAAGCAUAUGGAGAACCUUUUCGAUUUCAUCUGUUGUCAUCUUAUUUAUACAGUAAUUUAUCCUUCAUUGCUGCUGCAUUUGACGCAUCGCCCGCCAAUGUUUCCAUCGUAAAGCCACCGACUCAAAACUAUCGACGGCAGGACGUACAUCAAGAGAAAAUACCGGUUUUCCAUCAGCAGAAUCAGGCGCUUCAUAAUAAUCAAUCACAUAUCGUACAAUGGAAUUGUCUUUACGCUGAACAUACCAAUCAUGACGGUCAAACGGUCCUUCACCCGAUCCCCAGCGAUUGGGAUUUAUGCGACCCAACAUCAUGUACCAUAAUGCACGAGGAGUUCUUUUAUUAGCAUUACCCUCAAACCUAAGCAGCUUGGGUUCUGUGUUCUCACCAGCUUCGCGUUCCCAAGCCUUAAUUUCCGACCAUGCACCUUCGUUCAGAAAGUUAUGAACUUGUACCAUUAUUGGUACAUUCUCACCACUAUCACGAUACCCCUUUCUCCACAUUGCAUUGUACAUUUGCUGAGGCGACGGAUACUCCCAAUUUUUACCAUCCACUUUCGGUAUACUACUAGUUGUUCUAGUCGUCUCCAAUCCCACCACCUGAUCAUCAACGGCGGUUUGGGGUAUGUUCUUGUACAUCAUGUUACUCUUGUCCACUUCAUAAGCCUCUUGCUUCUGAUCAUCGUUAUUUCCAAACCAGUUAAACCAGCCUCUUUUUGGUGUCGCAACCGGGCAUCCUUCGGGAACGUAUGAUUGUUGCUUGCUGUCAACCCCCGUCAAUACUUCAGAUACACCAGCUGGCUUUUGAUUAGAAUUUGACAUGGGACAUGUUGCCGGAGGUUGAACAGCUGGUGUAGCCUCAGAAUUCUGUUUUUCCCGUCCAAAUAAAUUAGAAAAGAAGCCGGUAGAAUUUUCAUUGCUUGCUUUGUGCAUUGGACAACCUGGAGGAGGAUUGGCUAGAGGAUGAUCAUGGGUAUCGACUGUUGAAGGUUUUUUAUGGAGCAUAGCAACAUCCGGUUCGCUGGCGACAUCAGUAUUCCUACUCCACAAGGAAUUCCACCAAGACGAUGAUUGUUGGUCUUUCUUUAUACCAUUUAUGUAUGCAUCAGGAUUUGCUUCGUUUGAACGAGCGAAUUUGGAAUGGUCUAUAGGACACUUCCCAGUACGAGGGUGAUCGGUUGUUGUUUCACUGCUAGUCAUACUCCAAAUAGAUAAAAGUCAAAAAAAUUCAGAAACGAGAUAAACUUGAGAACAAAAAAUGCGUAAAAUUAACCCUCUAAUAAUAAGAGACGAUAUGGACUAUGAAUUAUAGUGUAAUUCCUGUAAAAAGAAAAGAGAAGAGACAAGCGUGAUUUUGAGAUGUUAAAUUGAAUAUGACACGACAGCAUCCGCUUGUCCUGGGCUUUUGUAACUGAACCAAUAAUGCAACUGACUUAGUGUAAUUGGUUUCCCUUUUCCGUUAUAGUCCUUUUGCGCUUGUUAUGGAAUUAAUUGGAUAUUUGCAAACACUACACUACGCUACAUUUGAAUGAAUAAUCUUCGCUUGUAUGUAUAGCUGUUUACGGGAAAUUUCGAGAUGGAGCAAUCUUCAUUUUAAAAGUAUUACUCUUACUAGUACAGAAAUUAUAAUUUUAUAUUUCAAUGUUUACAGCCCUUCGAUCCUGAUGCGAUUUAAACGCGCUAUCAAUGAUUAAGUUUUAUGUACAUCUGCUGCAUCGAUUUCGAAGCAAAAUAUAUGUAUUUCAUUCAUCUAACUAUUUUACUUUAUAUUUUUUUAUCUAACUUAUCUCUUAAUCACUACUUUUCAAUUUAACUAAGAAAGCUGUUUCACUGCGGACAUGACAUACUGACGAUUAUAACGAAAUAUUCCAAUGCUUAUGAUUGAAUUCAUGAAGACGGCUUGGCUUUUCAAUUUUAUUCCCAUUUUUUUAGACUCAUCAUUGAAUCUGUCUGUGUCUUUUAUCCUCCAAAUUAUUUUUACGAUUUGAGAAAUGUUUUACAAUACCCAAUUAGCUUCAAUUUCUUUAUUUAUUUUAGUAAUAAUUACAAUAUUCUAUUGCUAUAUACUAUUAUUUGUAUAAUACUCGGCAACUUUGGCAAAAUCCAAAUACCAAUACAAUAAUUUAAAGGUGUUUUGGAAAUUACUGAACAUCAAACACAAUUAAGAUAUAGUUAUAUGCAUAGUAUAUAUAUUCGACAAAAUAAAA